This 380-nucleotide ribosomal RNA is filed under the name Candidatus Cerribacteria bacterium 'Amazon FNV 2010 28 9'. RNAcentral describes it as "bacterial SSU rRNA". It matches the Rfam family "Bacterial small subunit ribosomal RNA", at positions 1 to 405 of the family's 1533-position model. Lineage: Bacteria; Candidatus Cerribacteria. The record is from RNAcentral.
UUAAGAGUUUGAUCCUGGCUCAGGAUGAACGCUGGCGGUGUGCCUUAAGCAUGCAAGUCGAACGGUUUUGUAGCAAUACAAGACAGUGGCAGACGGGUGAGUAACACGUAGGAAUCUACCUUCUUGUGGGGGAUAGCUCGCCGAAAGGCGGGGUAAUACCGCAUGUGAUCGCAAGAUCAAAGCCGCAAGGCGCGAGAAGAGGAGCCUGCGUCCUAUCAGCUAGUUGGCGGGGUAAAAGCCCACCAAGGCUAUGACGGGUAGCCGAUGUGAGAGCAUGAUCGGCCACAAGGUAACUGAGACACGGUGCCUACACCUACGGGUGGCAGCAACUGGGAAUCUUGCGCAAUGGACGAAAGUCUGACGCAGCGACACCGCGUGUG